CUUCCCAAUAAACUCUCUUGCUUUGUCAACACAUGUGUCUCAUUGGAUAAUUCAUUUCCAAGUGUUAGACAAGAGUCCAUUCUUGGGCCCUGGAAUGGGUCCCCUUUCCUGCAACAGAGGGAAAUAAAAAGCAAUAGCACUGGGAAGAAAAAAAAAAAAUUUAUGUAGCUCACAGACAAGAGGCACGAGCCUACUACAAGACUGAAAUUUAAUCAUAAGUUGGUAGAACACCCAUCUUCCUUCAUACAUCAUGAUCACACAAUCAGGCUCUUGUAUAAUAACAAUGAUUGUAGUUGAAAGAGAUGCAACACACAGAUACUCUCUGAGGAGCAGAACUUAGAGAUAUUCCCUGAAGUCAACAGAGGACAAAACACAAGGACACUAGAGGAAUUUGAAGCUCUGAUAUCUACAACUCAGUAAGGGUUAGGUUGGGCUGUAUUUACAGCCCAAUUUCUAGCCAAAUGAACAUAAAUCCUCACACUAAAAGGUUCUUUAACUGUUUCUAGUAUCUAGUACCAGAGAAGUGCAAAUUAAAACACUAAUGAGAUACCAUACAAGCCUAUUAGAGUGGUUAAAAUCCAACAAACUAAAAACACGCAAUUGCUAGUAGGAUUCAGAACAACAGAAAUUCUCAUUCAUUGCUGGUAUGCAUACAAAAAUGGUACAGCCACUUUGGAAGAUAGGUUCGCAGUUUCUUACGAGGCCAAGCACAAUCUUACCAUACGAUUCAGCAAUUGUGCUCCUAGGUAUUAACUCAACUGAUUUUAAAACUUUUCCCUACACAAAAGCCUGCACCACAAAUGUGUAUAGCAUCUUCAUUCAGAAUUGCCAAAAACAAGAAGCAACCAAGAUGUAGGUUAACAGAUAAGCAAAUUAUGAUACAUCUCAAACAUCUGAAUCCUUUUCAGCAAUAAAAAAGAAUGAGCUAUCAAGUCAUUCAAUGAAGUUGGUGAAUCUUAAAUGCAAAGUGAAAGACAGCCUGAGAAAGCUACAUGCUGUACAAUUCCAUUUGUAUGACAUUCUGGAAAAGGCAAAACUAUGGAGAUAGUAAGCAGAGCUGCAGUUACCAAAGGUUAAGGGGCAAUUAAGUAGGUGACUUUUUUAGAUCAGUAAAACUAUUCUAUACGACACUGUAAUGAUGGAUCCAUAAAACUAUGCGUUUGUCAAAAUCCAUAGCAUAGCACAAAGAGGGAAACUCAAUGCAUGAAAAUAUUUUUAAAAUUAUUUAGAAGGUAAGUAGAUUCCAGGAUAGAAUACAAAAUGUGAAGAAAAAAACCCACAUCUAACUGUAUUGCAAAUGUAUGAAACAACAUCAUUGAAGGAGGUGGAGGGAAAAGGUGCUGACCUAAGUAACUUUGGAAAUAAGUGGAGUCCCUCAAGGUAAAGAUGAAAAGCAUUAUGUAUAAGCCCUGUCUUCUAGCUGAUAAAGUUGUUUCCCACAGGAGUAGGGAUUAAAAAUUCUGAAACCACUAUACAUACAUAUUGAAAUUAAACAAUUAAGUAAAUGGAUGGCAGAUGGUGGGAGCCAGGUUUUUCUCACUGUGGAGUGGGAGGCUACAGAUAAACAAGGAGUAAAAGCUAUAAAAAUCCAUGUGGUGAUGGAGCUGAAUACAUCUUUGCUAACUCAUGUUUUAGCUUGAUAUGGAAACAGAUGAUUCCAUGUAGGCAUAUUUAUAGACAUUUUUAUAUACAUGGGCUGAUUUACACACGUAUGUUUUCUUGCUUUGUUAGCUGAAAAGAUA
Molecule: long non-coding RNA, 1742 nt
Organism: Bos taurus (domestic cattle)
Lineage: Eukaryota; Metazoa; Chordata; Mammalia; Artiodactyla; Bovidae
Source: Ensembl